This 467-nucleotide ribosomal RNA is filed under the name uncultured bacterium. Its description in RNAcentral is "bacterial SSU rRNA". It matches the Rfam family "Bacterial small subunit ribosomal RNA", at positions 30 to 504 of the family's 1533-position model. The record is from RNAcentral.
UGAACGUUGGCGGCGUGCCUAAUACAUGCAAGUCGAACGAAGAAAUUAGAGUAGCAAUACCCUGAUUCUCUUAGUGGCGAACGGGUGAGUAACGCGUUGGUGACCUGCCCCAAAGAGAGGGAUAACAACUCGAAAGGGUUGCUAAUACCUCAUGUGAUCAUUUGAUUUAGAACCUUAUGAUUAAAGGAGCUUGCUCCACUUUGGGAGGGGCCUGCGUACCAUCAGCUAGUUGGUAGGGUAAUGGCCUACCAAGGCUAUGACGGUUAGGGGACCUGAGAGGGUGGCCCCCCACAAUGGAACUGAAACACGGUCCAUACACCUACGGGUGGCAGCAGUAGGGAAUAUUGGUAAUCUGCGAAAGCGGGAACCAGCAACGCCGCGUGUGCGAAGAAGGCCUUCGGGUUGUAAAGCACUUUUCGGGAGGAAGAGGAAGGACUGUACUCCCGGAAUAAGUCUCGGCUAACUAC